Coffea arabica (coffee) is the source of this 2042-nucleotide RNA transcript. It is a transcript of the gene named probable serine/threonine-protein kinase PBL7, with no coding region annotated. The record is from RefSeq and is a predicted model, not a curated record. NCBI's taxonomy places the organism in Eukaryota, Viridiplantae, Streptophyta, Magnoliopsida, Gentianales, Rubiaceae.
CCAUAGAAGAAGAAGACAAAACAGGAAACAGAGGAAACACACAAAAAGGAUUGUUAAGUGGAAUUAAUGCAACUGACCACUUUUAGUCACUUCAACGUUCAAACCUUUAAUUCUUUCCCCCAAAACAAAAAAAGUUCAAACCUUUAAGCUUAAAAAAAAAAAAGAAGGCUACUCAAAAAACAAAGACCCAAUAAAUUUUCUCCAAUUUCUUCACUUCAUUUGCAUUUCCAGCUGAAAUGGAAGCAGAAAAUGAUGAGUACAAGAGAAAAGAGCGCUUAGUGCUGGUGACAAUCCUAGUCUUUGCUUCUCUUGCCAUUGCUUCUUUGCUGGUGGCCUUUAGCUACUAUUGCUACAUUAGGAACAAAGUCUCCAGGCGCUUGGAAAAAGCGAGGAAAACGGUUGCUAAUGAGGAGAAAGCAAGCAGUUUUGCAAAUAUUCAAGUUGCUACUCAGAAAGGGCUUCAGGUUUUCACCUUCAAGCAGCUGCAUUCUGCAACUGGUGGUUUUGGGAAGUCUAAUAUAAUAGGACAUGGUGCAUUUGGUUCUGUCUAUAGAGGAGUGCUUCAAAAUGGGAGGAAGGUUGCAAUUAAGUUAAUGGAUUCGGCUGGAAAGCAAGGAGAAGAGGAAUUCAAAGUAGAGGUGGAACUUCUAAGUCGACUGCAUUCACCUUAUCUGCUGUUGUUGAUUGGCUACUGCUCAGAAAGCAAUCACAAAUUGCUGGUCUAUGAGUUCAUGGCAAACGGUGGUCUGCAGGAACAUUUGUAUCCCAUCAGUGGUUCUAAUAACGUCUCUUUGAGCUUGGACUGGGAUACUCGGUUGUGUAUUGCAUUAGAGGCGGCAAAAGGCUUGGAGUAUCUGCACGAACAUGUUAGUCCCCCGGUAAUUCACAGAGAUUUUAAAAGCAGCAACAUUCUUUUGGAUAGAAAUUUUCAUGCCAAAGUUUCUGACUUUGGGUUGGCCAAACUUGGAUCUGAAAAAGUUGGUGGGCAUGUUUCGACCCGGGUUUUGGGUACUCAAGGAUAUGUUGCCCCGGAAUAUGCAUUAACUGGGCAUCUGACAACAAAAUCAGAUGUCUAUAGUUAUGGUAUUGUUCUGCUGGAAUUGCUGACGGGCAGAGUACCAGUUGAUAUGAAGAGGCCUCCAGGCGAAGGUGUUCUUGUAUCCUGGGCAUUGCCACGACUCACAGAUAGAGAAAAGGUUUUAGAGAUUAUGGAUCCUAGAUUGGACGGUCAAUACUCAAUGAAGGAUGUUAUCCAAAUUGCGGCCAUUGCCGCAAUGUGUGUACAGCCUGAGGCUGACUACAGACCGCUGAUGGCUGAUGUUGUGCAAUCCCUGGUCCCAUUAGUCAAAAACCACCGUCCAACCUCAAGGGCUGGUAGCUGUUCUAGCUUCCAUGGUCCCCAGUCUCCGAAGGUUUAGCAGGACAGUGAUAAAGCAAGCAGGUGAAAAUAAUGGACUAAAAUUCGUCUUUGUGGUUCUGAAUUGUUCUAUCCUUGUAAGCUAACAACUGGAGGGAACACUUCCAUCAGUUAUUCAAGACUCCUGCAUUCUGUAUCUCUUUUGACAGAAACUAGAUUAUCAUGAUCUGGUCAUGGAUUGCAGUUUCUGUGUGCGAUGAAGGGUGCUGGAGCUAUUUGUCAUGCAGUUCUCAAUUUUGAAUGCUCCUAUUGCUUCUUCUUAUCUUAACCUAAUAAGUCAGAAGUAGCUCCUUGUUAGUUGGUGCAGCGUUCUUUGAAUGUCCAGUGUCAUUUGGUAAAGUGUCCUUUUCCUCUACUUGUACAAAUUUGCUCUUUAGUCACGUUUGGGCUAAGGCUAUAUCUGAUUGGCCCAUCUCAUUUGACAGCAUCAACUUAGCAGUACUUGCUUCACUGUUGAUUUUAUGGGGAUCGCAGCAUGCCAUUCCUUUGCCAUGGUCUGCAAUGAGUAGGUAGCUUAGGACCAGCCACAUUCUACUGUUUUUGGCUUCUCGAAGUGGGGGGUCAAAUGUACUCUGCAAUGCAAUACAAUUUGUCUUUGACAAGUUUUUGGAAGGAAAAGUAAACC